ACCACCCUCACACAAUGACUGGCAUAAUAACUCCCAAGCAAUGAAGUGGAUUCCACACUACUUGCCUUGAGCAUCCCAUAGGAAACUUCGAAACAACCUCUCCAUCUCCUUAAGAUAAUUCUUUAAUAGAAUAGUGUUAAUCAAAAGAUAGAUCAGUAUAGAGCUUUAGACAGAUUGUACCAAAGUAAGCCUCUCCAUUAUGGAUAAGGAUUUGGCCUACUAGAUUUCAAGGUGCUCUUGGGUACCCAUCAUUGCGCUAGCACACUACCCCCUC
Molecule: long non-coding RNA, 274 nt
Filed under: Elaeis guineensis (African oil palm)
Lineage: Eukaryota; Viridiplantae; Streptophyta; Magnoliopsida; Arecales; Arecaceae
Description: long non-coding RNA (EGUI_LNC039599)
Source: RNAcentral